This 32-nucleotide non-coding RNA is filed under the name Mus musculus (house mouse). Lineage: Eukaryota; Metazoa; Chordata; Mammalia; Rodentia; Muridae. The record is from RNAcentral.
UGCUUAUACAGAAAAUGAACUUUCAUCAAAGA